CCUACGGGGGGCAGCAGUGGGGAAUAUUGGACAAUGGGGGCAACCCUGAUCUAGCCAUGCCGCGUGUGUGAAGAAGGCCCUCGGGUUGUAAAGCACUUUCAGUGAGGAAGAACGCCUGGUGGUUAAUACCCAUCAGGAAAGACAUCACUCACAGAAGAAGCACCGGCUAACUCCGUGCCAGCAGCCGCGGUAAUACGGAGGGUGCGAGCGUUAAUCGGAAUUACUGGGCGUAAAGCGCGCGUAGGUGGCUUGAUAAGCCGGUUGUGAAAGCCCCGGGCUCAACCUGGGAACGGCAUCCGGAACUGUCAAGCUAGAGUGCAGGAGAGGAAGGUAGAAUUCCCGGUGUAGCGGUGAAAUGCGUAGAGAUCGGGAGGAAUACCAGUGGCGAAGGCGGCCUUCUGGACUGACACUGACACUGAGGUGCGAAAGCGUGGGUAGCAAACAGGAUUAGAUACCCCAGUAGUC
This 465-nucleotide ribosomal RNA is filed under the name Vreelandella stevensii. RNAcentral describes it as "partial 16S ribosomal RNA". It matches the Rfam family "Bacterial small subunit ribosomal RNA", at positions 338 to 795 of the family's 1533-position model. Lineage: Bacteria; Pseudomonadati; Pseudomonadota; Gammaproteobacteria; Oceanospirillales; Halomonadaceae. The record is from RNAcentral.